This 806-nucleotide ribosomal RNA is filed under the name uncultured bacterium. RNAcentral describes it as "bacterial SSU rRNA". It matches the Rfam family "Bacterial small subunit ribosomal RNA", at positions 8 to 796 of the family's 1533-position model. The record is from RNAcentral.
AGAGUUUGAUCAUGGCUCAGAUGACGCCGCGGCGUGCUUAACACAUGCAAGUCGAACGAGAAAUCGUUCCUUCGGGGGCGAGAGUAAAGUGGCGUACGGGUGAGUAACGCGUGGGUACCUACCCUCGGGUUCGGGAUACUUUUCGAAAGGAAGGCUAAUCCGGAUAAGCCACGAAGGCUUCGGCUUUUGGGGUAAAAGAUGGCCUCUGCGUGCAACUAUCGCCUGAAGAUGGGCUCGCGUGCUAUUAGCUGUUGGUGGGGUAACGGCCUACCAAGGCUACGAUAGCUAGCUGGUCUGAGAGGAUGACCAGCCACACUGGAACUGAAACACGGUCCAGACUCCUACGGGAGGCAGCAGUGAGGAAUUUUGCGCAAUGGGGGAAACCCUGCGCAGCAACGCCGCGUGAGUGAAGAAGGCCCUCGGGUCGUAAAGCUCUGUCAAGUGGGAAGAAAUUCCUGAAGGCCAAUACCCUUUUGGAUUGACGGUACCACUGAAGGAAGCACCGGCNNNCUCCGUGCCAGCAGCCGCGGUAAUACGGAGGGUGCAAGCGUUAUUCGGAUUCAUUGGGUGUAAAGCGCGUGUAGGCGGCUUGGCAGGUCAGAUGUGAAAGCUCCGGGCUUAACCCGGAAAGUGCAUUUGAAACUACCAGACUUGAGUCCCGGAGAGGAAGGUGGAAUUCCCAGUGUAGAGGUGAAAUUCGUAGAUAUUGGGAGGAACACCGGUGGCGAAGGCGACCUUCUGGACGGUGACUGACGCUGAGACGCGAAAGCGUGGGUAGCAAACAGGAUUAGAUACCCUAGUAGUCC